This 406-nucleotide ribosomal RNA is filed under the name uncultured bacterium. Its description in RNAcentral is "partial 16S ribosomal RNA". It matches the Rfam family "Bacterial small subunit ribosomal RNA", at positions 30 to 526 of the family's 1533-position model. The record is from RNAcentral.
AUUGAACGCUGGCGGCAGGCUUAACACAUGCCAGUCGAGCGAGCGGCGGACGGGUGAGUAAUGUCUGGGAAACUGCCUGAUGGAGGGGGAUAACUACUGGAAACGGUAGCUAAUACCGCAUACCCUCAGAUAUGCCCAGAUGGGAUUAGCUAGUAGGUGGGGUAAUGGCUCACCUAGGCGACGAUCCCUAGCUGGUCUGAGAGGAUGACCAGCCACACUGGAACUGAGACACGGUCCAGACUCCUACGGGAGGCAGCAGUGGGGAAUAUUGCACAAUGGGCGCAAGCCUGAUGCAGCCAUGCCGCGUGUGUGAAGAAGGCCUUCGGGUUGUAAAGCACUUUCAGCGAGGAGGCGUUACUCGCAGAAGAAGCACCGGCUAACUCCGUGCCAGCAGCCGCGGUAAUAC